UACGUAGGCAGCGAGCGUUGUUCGGAGUUACUGGGCGUAAAGGGUGUGUAGGCGGUUGUUUAAGUUUGGUGUGAAAUCUCCCGGCUCAACUGGGAGGGUGCGCCGAAUACUGAAUGACUUGGAGUGCGGGAGAGGAAAGUGGAAUUCCUGGUGUAGCGGUGAAAUGCGUAGAUAUCAGGAAGAACACCCGUGGCGAAGGCGGCUCUCUGGGACGGUACUGACGCUGAGACGCGAAAGCGUGGGGAGCGAACAGG
Molecule: ribosomal RNA, 254 nt
Filed under: uncultured bacterium
Lineage: Bacteria
Description: partial 16S ribosomal RNA
Rfam family: Bacterial small subunit ribosomal RNA
Source: RNAcentral